CCAAUAAUACCUUUGAUCAGUCAACACAAAAGGUGUUUAUGCUGGCUCCGCUUUUAGGCAGUGCCUAAAUCUAUAUAUUAUCAAAGGCGCUGGACGUCAUAGAGGUUGCUUAAUACUACGGUCAUUAUUAGUAGUAGCUAUCAAUUUUUUAGACAGACCAGGCGCCAAAUAUUCGAGAAAUUUAUCUGUGAGAGCACGAAGAAUGCUUGGGAUUGUUUGCGGCACUUCCCGCGAGUUGUUGAUUUUGUGAGCUUAUCAAAUAAUGGCAUGUGUGUUCAAGCAGCGGUUUGUCUAUUUAGACGAAAAAGCCUGUAGUAAAUUGGUGAUGUGAAUAUGCUAGUUGUAAGUUAGUGAUGUGUGGAUCUGUAGUCUUAUCGUAAAUCUCCUGAGCCGUGAAUUAUCUUUGCGUUUCAAAUCAUUUAGCGAACCGUGGUUCGUCGUUACUAAAAUUAUUACCCUUGCAUAUAACACCAAUGUAGUUUUGUUUUACACAAAAGCUGUUUAUAAUUUCAUUUGGGCAUUUGAUUGUGCCACCACGCGAGUCAUUGGAAAAUUGACCAGUGCGGUCUUCAGCCAGUUCAGGAGGAACGCGUAACGCAAUCAUUUCUAUUGUCUCACCGAGGUCACGCAUCAGUCGUGCUGGAAAACUACCGCAGACCGGAAAAGCUGUAUUUUUUCGCGCCCGUGCUAUACAUCCGUGAGCUGAUUGUUGCGUAAGCUAGAGGAAGAUUAGAGGAGUAGAUCGACUUGAAAUACGGCCAGAUUUACCAAAUAAAUAUCUCUUUAUCGAAGUUCGACGAUAGCGCACCGAGUGUCUCAUCCGCCAUAUUGGAAGAGGAAUGUGUCUAUUUAUAGUUCUAAAAGUGUUAAGAGGGUUAAAAUGUGCCAAGAAUUGCCAAAGACAGAGCAUUGGAAUGGUCGACGAUGAUCGGUCGAUGAUACAAAGGAAACAUUAAAAUUCUUCAAGACAACACAAAGAACAAGAAAGCAAAAUUUACUCUUUAGUGUGUUGAUUUUGUAGAGUAGACAAUAAAAACACAAAUUGGUUUUGGUUGAGCGCUUGUAUGGGUUUUAGAUAGCGAAAUAUCCAAUAAAAUGUUAAACCAAGCAAAUUUAUCGUGAAGGCUCUAAUUCCAUCCAUGUAA
Molecule: long non-coding RNA, 1145 nt
Organism: Nematostella vectensis (starlet sea anemone)
Lineage: Eukaryota; Metazoa; Cnidaria; Anthozoa; Actiniaria; Edwardsiidae
Exons: 3
Source: RefSeq, a predicted model, not a curated record